Molecule: long non-coding RNA, 682 nt
Organism: Apodemus sylvaticus (European woodmouse)
Lineage: Eukaryota; Metazoa; Chordata; Mammalia; Rodentia; Muridae
Exons: 2
Source: RefSeq, a predicted model, not a curated record
GCUUGGGCUGGCUGCUGGGAGUGGAAGGGCCAGUCUCCUGCCUCCAGAACCUCCAGGCAGGUAGGAUCGGGUGCUAGAGACCCGGGGAGGGUUUCUGCUUUGUCCAAAGUCCCCCAAAGCCGCAAACUUCGCCGACAGAUUAUUAAACCUUGGGGUGCAGAGGUAGUUUAACAAGAAGAUUGCUCAACCUCAAAGGCCCGUUGGCCUGGAAGACUUGGAGAAUUACUGUUUGAGUUCACCAGAAAGGCAGCAGUGGGCAGGUGCGGUCCUGAGGCUUGCCAUUUAUAGUUCAGGUGAGACAGCUUCGGGGAUAACGAGAGAGACAUUGGAACUACAGAGACUUCAAGUCCUCAUCCUUCUUCGACUGCGUAAUUCCAAAGACCAGGCAUUGCUUCCCUGGAGAGCCUUCUGUCAGUAAAAUGAAAAUAUGAACACCUGCUUUGCCAUCAGGUGAAAUAUCCUUCUUUGGAAUAGUCUCAAUUCAAUCACUGCUGUUUAGCAGAAACUGUGUUAUGUCCUGUUGUCUUCGGGUAUUUAAAAUGGAAACUAAAACCACUUGUUUCUCCAAAAGUGGGGGGCUUGAAUUUAUCUCCUUCCUUACCAUUCUGUACAUUAAAAUAUAGUGUAUAAAUAGAGUCUGCAGAUAUGGGCUAUCUGAUGUUAAUAAAAAUUAUCCUGAAAA